CGGCCGCGGGAAUUCGAUUAGAGUUUGAUCAUGGCUCAGAACGUACGCUGGCGGCACGCCUAAAGCAUGCAAGUCGAACGAAGUAGCAAUACUUAGUGGCAGACGGGUGAGUAACAUGUAGGUAUCUACCCUUUGGCCUGGAAUAACACGAGGAAACUUGUGCUAAUACCGGAUAAGUCUUUACGGAGAAAGCUUUAUGCACCAUUGGAUGAGCCUGCACUUGAUUAGUUUGUUGGUAGGGUAAUGGCCUACCAAGACUGUGAUCAAUAGCUGAUUUGAGAGGAUGAUCAGCCACAUUGGGACUGAGACACGGCCCAAACUCCUACGGGAGGCAGCAGUGGGGAAUCUUGCACAAUGGAGGAAACUCUGAUGCAGCGAUGCCGCGUGAGUGAAGAAGGCCCUUGGGUUGUAAAGCUCUUUCGUCGGGGAAGAAAAUGACUGUACCCGAAUAAGAAGGUCCGGCUAACUUCGUGCCAGCAGCCGCGGUAAUACGAAGGGACCUAGCGUAGUUCGGAAUUACUGGGCUUAAAGAGUUCGUAGGUGGUUGAAAAAGUUGGUGGUGAAAUCCCAGAGCUUAACUCUGGAACUGCCAUCAAAACUUUUCAGCUAGAGUUUGAUAGAGGAAAGCAGAAUUUCUAGUGUAGAGGUGAAANUUCGUAGAUAUUANAAAGAAUACCAAUUGCGAAGNCA
This 690-nucleotide ribosomal RNA is filed under the name uncultured Alphaproteobacteria bacterium. RNAcentral describes it as "partial 16S ribosomal RNA". It matches the Rfam family "Bacterial small subunit ribosomal RNA", at positions 1 to 723 of the family's 1533-position model. Lineage: Bacteria; Pseudomonadati; Pseudomonadota; Alphaproteobacteria. The record is from RNAcentral.